GGCCUAAACUUGAAGUAGGGUAGUUAAGUAAGGUUAGCCGAUCCUUCUAAUCUACUUUAAUCCGAAUUUAGGCCC
This 75-nucleotide microRNA precursor is filed under the name Haemonchus placei. Its description in RNAcentral is "mir-5928 microRNA precursor family". It matches the Rfam family "mir-5928 microRNA precursor family". Lineage: Eukaryota; Metazoa; Nematoda; Chromadorea; Rhabditida; Trichostrongylidae. The record is from Rfam by way of RNAcentral.